UUUUUUUUUUUUUUUAAGGCCAUACCUGUGGCACCUGGAAGUUCCCAUGCUAGGGCUGGGAUCAGUUGCAGCUAAGGCCUGUGUCACCCCCUUAGCAAUACUGGAUCCAAGAUGUCUCUGCCUCCCAUGCUAAGGCUUGUGGCAACAUCAGAUCCUUAAUCCACUGAGCAAGGUCAGGGUUUAAACACACAUCCUCACAGAAACAACAUCAAGUUCUUUUUCCUUUUCCUUUUAUUCUUUUUAGAUCUUUUGAGGGUCACACCUGGGGCAGGUGGAACUUCCCAGACUAGGGGUGAAUCAGAGCUAUAGCUGCUGACCUGCACCACAGCCACAGCAAAGCCAGAUCUAAGCCAUAUCUGUGACCUACACUGCAGCUCACUGCAACGCCACAUCCUUAACCCACUGAGCAAGGUCAGAGAUUGACCUCCCAUCCUCAUGGAUCCUAGUCAGGUUCACUACCACUGAGUCACAACAGGAACUCCCCAAUGUCGAGUUCUUAACCUGCUGACCCACAACAGGAACUCCUGCUCAGGUAUUCUUAAACAAGAAGAGAAUUGGCGGGGGGAGGUGGGAGGGGGAGAGGGGGAGAUAAUUUCUACAGAAUAAAAGUGUUCAGUUUGAUGAGUGUUGACAGUUGAAUAUAUUUGUGUAUCAUUACCGAAAACAAGAUGUAAAAUAUUUCUAGGAGUUUCCGUCGUGGCUCAGUGGUUAAUGAAUCUGACUAGGAACCAUGAGGUUGCGAGUUCGAUCCCUGGCCUUGCUCAAUGGGUUAAGGAUCCGGCAUUGCCAUGAGCUGUGGUGUAGGUCACAAAUGCAGCUCAGAUCCCCUGUUGCUGUGGCUCUGGUGUAGGAUGUGGCUAAGCUCCGAUGAGACCCCUAGCCUGGGAACCUCCAUAUGCCACAGGAACAGCCCAAGAAAUAGCAACAAUAACAACAACAACAACAAAAAAGACAAAAGACAAAAAAAACAAAACAAAACAAAAAAAAAACCGAACUAGUAUCCAUGAAGAUGCAUAUUUGAUCUUGGCCCCACUCAGAUGCAUAUUUGAUCUUGGCCCCACUCAGUUGGUUAAGGAUCUGGCAUUGCCAUGAGCUAUGGUGUAGGUCACUGACUUGGCUUGGAUCCCACAUUUUUGUGGCUGUGGUGUAGGCCAGCAGUUACAGCUCUGAUUUGAUGCCUAGCCUUUGAGCUUCCAUGUGCCUUGGAUGUGGCCUUAAAAAGCAAACAAACCAACCAGCUGUCUAAAUCCCAGACAAAACCCUCAUUUUUUUUUUGAAGAAAUUAACAAAUUGAUUCUAAAAUGUGUAUGGAACACAAAGGUUCUAGAAUAGCCAAAAAAAAAAAAAUCUUCAAAAGAAAUGGAAAGUUGGGGAACUUACACUGCUUAAACUAAGUGUAAAGCUACAGUUAAGCUACAGUGAUCAAAACAAUUUGGCCUUGGUGUAAAGGUAGGAAAAUAGAUCAAUAAAAUAGAAAUGAACCUUCACCAGUGCUGUCAGUUUAUUUCUGCCCAGAGGGCCAAGUCAGUUUUCCUUUUCCCAAUGAGGAAAAGGAAAGUCUCUUGAACCAAUGCUUCUGGAUCAUCUAGAUAUUCACGUGGAAACAGAAUGAGCUUUGACCUCAUUCUGUAAACACACACUCACUUGGUAUGGAUCAUAAACCUAAAUAUAAAAGCUAAAACCAUAAACUUCUGUAAGAAAAUAUAGGGGCUAUCUGGGGAUAGGUAAAUAUUUUUGUUUACAUGAAAAGCAUGAACUACAAGAGAAAGAGAUAAACUAAGAGAAUGAACAGGCAAGCUGCAGCCUGGGAGAAAAUAUUCAGAUUACAUGUCUGAAAAUAUUUUUGUUUUUCCAAAAGACCAUUAGCAUCAUUCAGGUCCAUGGUGUCCUGUUAAAAUGCUUUCUGUUAAUUUUACCAAUCACAUUUGUGGAGGUUUUUGUUUUUGUUGUUAAAGAGGGAGAUACAGGACAUUGUAUCAAAGGGACAGUGCUUUCUCCUGUGUGUUUGGACUGGAUUCUCCUAUUUACUUUGCUCUCCAUGAAUGUCGGUUCCUUUUUGUUUACACUUUGCCUACUAGUCAAUGACUUCUUACAGUGGAGUUCCUAUGGUGGUUCAGUGGUAAUGAACCCAGCUGGUGUCUAUGAAGAUGUGGGUUCAAUUCCUGGCCUUGCUCAGUGGGGUAAGGAUCCAGUGUUGCCUUGAGCUGUGGUGUAGGUUAGGGACUUGGCUCAGAUCUGCUGUGGCUGUGGCUGUGGCUGUGGUGGAGACCAGCAGCUGCAGCUCCUAUUUGACCCCUUGCCUGGGGACUUCCAAAUGCCACAAGUGGGGCCCUAAAAACACCAAAAAAAAAGAGAAAAGAAAAGAAAAGGACUGUUUACAUUAGAAAUGGUAGUUUGUAGAUCAUGUUGCUCCUUGUAAAGUAAUAAAUGUGAGAUGAAGCCAAGAAGCAAUUCCUGUGGUCUUCUUUAGGAGGAAACUGGCUUUGAGUCUUCUUAGUUAUUCAGGCCCAGUUUUUAGAUGAUCAAGCACUCAAGAUCUUGUGAAUCUCCUUAGGAAAAAAAGCUUUCAGAAACUCCCAGUAAGG
RNAcentral lists this long non-coding RNA (2585 nucleotides) under Sus scrofa (pig). RNAcentral's name for it is "lncRNA (ENSSSCG00055018160.1)". The record is from RNAcentral. Lineage: Eukaryota; Metazoa; Chordata; Mammalia; Artiodactyla; Suidae.